RNAcentral lists this ribosomal RNA (411 nucleotides) under Triticum aestivum (bread wheat). RNAcentral's name for it is "partial small subunit ribosomal RNA". The record is from RNAcentral. Lineage: Eukaryota; Viridiplantae; Streptophyta; Magnoliopsida; Poales; Poaceae.
AUGGAAAGAGAUGGAGAGCAGCCGGUAGACGAAGGAGAAGCAGCAGCUCCGUCGGGAUCGACAAGCAGGUCUACUAAACACACAUCUAGGAUAGCUAUUCAGAAAGUAACAGAGGUCGUUGCUGCAUUAUCGGAUUACAAAAGAUUCAUGGUUGAGGAGAUUGGCUUUGAGGGUGUAUUGCGUAUCCCCAUGAUUCAGAAAAUCAAUCUCAAGUUCAGCAAGUUCCUCAUGACCAAGGUGGAUGUGAAAGAGCAUUGCAUCAUCCUGAGAGACGGCGGAACACCAAUUACUUUUUAUCCAGAGGAUUUCUACAAAGUGUUUGGCAUCCCAUGUGGUCAACGAGACAUCCAUGGGAAAGAUGCAGACAUCACAUCUGAAGCAAUCAAGUUCAUCAGGAACUCUAUAGGGUAG